Molecule: transfer RNA, 65 nt
Filed under: Sphecapatoclea sp.
Lineage: Eukaryota; Metazoa; Arthropoda; Insecta; Diptera; Sarcophagidae
Description: tRNA-Pro
Source: RNAcentral
AAGAGGUAGUUUAAAUAAAAUAUUAAUUUUGGGGAUUAAUGAUAAAGAAGUUACUUUUCUCUUGA